This is a long non-coding RNA of Ctenopharyngodon idella (grass carp), 1977 nucleotides long. RefSeq lists it as uncharacterized. The record is from RefSeq and is a predicted model, not a curated record. NCBI's taxonomy places the organism in Eukaryota, Metazoa, Chordata, Actinopteri, Cypriniformes, Xenocyprididae. The transcript has 5 exons.
UCAGAAUUUGGUUGGAAAAAGUAUGUCAUCUGGGUACUUUUUGCCUGCUCUUUAAUGAGUACUGUGAAUUGGGACAUACGACUUUUGUCACACAGGUGAUGUAAGGGGACAUGAGCUAAGUUAAGCUAAUAAUUAUCUGUUUAUACUUAAGGAAUUGACUUUGUAUUUAGCACUUCUUCAAAUUGUGACAUUUCUAGGUGAGGUGAAUGGAUUAUUUUCACCAUACCCUCGUUGUUCAUUUAAUCAACUAAGAAGAACUGGGCAUUUCCUCCUUCACCAGCUCCUAGACAGAAGAAAAAGUGUGUGACAUACACGCAUAGAUUCUUUUGUCCGGCCAAAAGGAAAGAUUCAGAAAUCCUGAAGGUGGCCGAAAAAAUUUGAACUGGAGAGAGCAGGACUUGGAGAAAAAAAAAAUGAUGUUCUCUGACAAAUACUGUUGUUCUUCAAUCAGGAACUCGUACGCCAGUUCCCUAAGCGGGGUGAGGGUGGUGGCUUUGAGCUGUUAAAAACGAGAGGCUGCACCAGGACAAAAAUUCUCCAUCCUAUUCCGUGUCCAGAUACAGGUUAUUCCCCUGAAUACCUAUGCUCCGAUGCAGCUGGAAUAGGAGCAGCUACGAUUCAUGUCAGACCUCUUUGGAGAUUGUUGCUUCACUAAACUCCAUUCAUCUCUGUAUUUAGUGCUGUUUGCCUGGGGAUCACAUUCAGACAAUAAUAAUACCAGCUGUAUAUGGGGCCUUUGUUGAAACAAAUGGAUUGGAAAAUUGAGAGUGAUGAACAGCAAGCAGCAUACCAGUUUUGAAGAAACUUAUUACAUGGAGCUGAAGACCGGACACCCCUUCAGGUCACAACAGAUCUAACCAGCAGUGUGUAAGACAGAGAUAGACAGUUUCUGUCAUUCUACGAGUCAAACCCAACUGACUGGGCAUCCCCACUAUCAAUCAACCUUAAAGCUUGAAGAGCCGAGGGAUCCGACAGACGUGGAACGAUAGAGAGUGAACGAUCUUGCUUUUAGCUGGGACUUGCCAACAUUAACUAGAGAAAACCGGAAGUGGCUUGCAGAAACCGUUCUUCAGCAUGCGGUUAUCGGUCGCAGAGAGAAGCAGAUGAAGCAAAUCAAACGAGGUCUGAAGGAUUCUGGGGUUCUGCUCAUGAUGAAAGAACGGCCUUCUCUCAUCACAGUGCUGUUCCCAAAAUCAUCCUUCCUGAACUAAUGGAUUGUUUAUGGCUCUGAAAACAUGCGAUCGUUAACCAGACUUCCCAUUUCCUAAAAACCUGAGCAUUUAUGCUGUUUUCUUUGUCCAUAGAUGGUUUAGAAAGAGUUAUAUGGCCAAUGAUGAAGAUGAAGAUGAGGAUGAUCACGAGGUUCCUCUGGAGUUGAAACGCCAGAUGGCGUCGUACCUCAGGAAGUACAUCGAAAAUGGUAAUGAUCUUUUUACCACUAGAGCCCGACCGAUAUGGGUUUUCAGGGGCUGAUACCGAUAUUAGGAAGUAAAAAAAAGUCUGACAUCAACAUAUCGCCGAUAUUCUUUGUGUAUAUUAUAGGGGUGCGAUGGUUCAAAUUACCCAUGGUUCAAUUUUUAUCAUGGUUUCUAUGGUUUUGGUACGGUUCGGUAUGUGCUAUGUUCAGGCAAAAUAGGACAACUGUCAAAUAAAAAUAAAGAAAACAAGAACAAAUAAUCAAACUACAAGAAACAGCAGGUAUUUCAGGGCUCUCGUUUAUAAAACUUUCCGUAGAUUUCAUCCUAAAAAUGUACACGAAUGUACACACAAUCUGAUAUAAAAUAAAAGGUGCACAACCUUAUUAUAAAUGCAUCAUCAGAUUUGAGAUGAACCGGUGCAAGUGCGUGCCGAACAUGUUUAUAUCGGUGACAUAUCUGCAACAUAAACGCAGAUGCAGAUUUAUCUGCGACAGGCUCAUAUUGGCCGAUAAAAUCGGCAGACUGUUAAAUCGGUCCGGCUCUAGUUACCCCACAUUAA